AAUUUUUUGAAUCCAUGCAGAGAUUUCAUCAGACACUAACCUAUUAGGGUUGAUCAAACUUCCAAGAUAAGUGAAGUU
RNAcentral lists this microRNA precursor (78 nucleotides) under Schistosoma margrebowiei. Its description in RNAcentral is "mir-3492 microRNA precursor family". It matches the Rfam family "mir-3492 microRNA precursor family". Lineage: Eukaryota; Metazoa; Platyhelminthes; Trematoda; Strigeidida; Schistosomatidae. The record is from Rfam by way of RNAcentral.